RNAcentral lists this long non-coding RNA (223 nucleotides) under Elaeis guineensis (African oil palm). RNAcentral describes it as "long non-coding RNA (EGUI_LNC017749)". Lineage: Eukaryota; Viridiplantae; Streptophyta; Magnoliopsida; Arecales; Arecaceae. The record is from RNAcentral.
UCAUCAUCAAAGUUUAUAUGAACAUAUGAUUGAGAUGUUCGAUAAUCAAAUGCUUCUCUUCAAGCUUUGGAUACUAUUUUUGCCUCCUUUUCUUUCUGUAGAUGAUCCCUUAUCAUCGUUCGAAUCUCUACGGAUACCUUUGGACACUUUUUGACAUCACUGAAGUUACCCACCAAAUGUUGCUUCAAUCGGAUGACUUCACCUUCUCUAUUUUUUAGGCCAC